GCCUGGGUGGCUCAGUCGGUUGAGUGUCUGACUUCGGCUCAGGUCAUGAUCUCGCGGUCCGUGAGUUCAAGCCCCGCGUCGGGCU
RNAcentral lists this transfer RNA (85 nucleotides) under Felis catus (domestic cat). It matches the Rfam family "tRNA". From Rfam's summary of the family: Transfer RNA (tRNA) molecules are approximately 80 nucleotides in length. Their secondary structure includes four short double-helical elements and three loops (D, anti-codon, and T loops). RNAcentral also lists the same sequence under 2 other names. Lineage: Eukaryota; Metazoa; Chordata; Mammalia; Carnivora; Felidae. The record is from Rfam by way of RNAcentral.